Molecule: ribozyme, 116 nt
Filed under: Aedes aegypti (yellow fever mosquito)
Lineage: Eukaryota; Metazoa; Arthropoda; Insecta; Diptera; Culicidae
Description: drz-agam-1 ribozyme
Rfam family: drz-agam-1 ribozyme
Source: Rfam by way of RNAcentral
UGCCUAGCAACUCCUAUCCUUACCUCCUCGCGGUACUGGUCGGGGUACGAGUAAGCUUGGGGAAGAUCGGGUGGGCAACCCAGGUGGGAACUUUGGUCGUAUGCUGACAGGGAAGG